RNAcentral lists this ribosomal RNA (465 nucleotides) under uncultured bacterium. RNAcentral's name for it is "partial 16S ribosomal RNA". It matches the Rfam family "Bacterial small subunit ribosomal RNA", at positions 29 to 507 of the family's 1533-position model. The record is from RNAcentral.
ACGAACGCUGGCGGCGUGCUUAACACAUGCAAGUCGAACGGAAAGGCCCAGCUUGCUGGGUACUCGAGUGGCGAACGGGUGAGUAACACGUGGGUGAUCUGCCCUGGACUCUGGGAUAAGCCUGGGAAACUGGGUCUAAUACCGGAUAUGACCUUACAUCGCAUGGUGUUUGGUGGAAAGCUUUUGCGGUUCAGGAUGGGCCCGCGGCCUAUCAGCUUGUUGGUGGGGUAAUGGCCUACCAAGGCGACGACGGGUAGCCGACCUGAGAGGGUGAUCGGCCACACUGGGACUGAGACACGGCCCAGACUCCUACGGGAGGCAGCAGUGGGGAAUAUUGCACAAUGGGCGCAAGCCUGAUGCAGCGACGCCGCGUGAGGGAUGACGGCCUUCGGGUUGUAAACCUCUUUCACCAGGGACGAAGCGUGAGUGACGGUACCUGGAGAAGAAGCACCGGCCAACUACGUG